UGGUUACAUGCAGUUGUGUUGUUUUUUUUUGUAGAAUCUGUUUUUAUUGGCUGAGUGAAACAAUUUAACUUAACCA
Molecule: microRNA precursor, 76 nt
Filed under: Bos taurus (domestic cattle)
Lineage: Eukaryota; Metazoa; Chordata; Mammalia; Artiodactyla; Bovidae
Description: microRNA bta-mir-2361 precursor
Source: miRBase by way of RNAcentral